Molecule: ribosomal RNA, 517 nt
Filed under: Kurixalus chaseni
Lineage: Eukaryota; Metazoa; Chordata; Amphibia; Anura; Rhacophoridae
Description: partial large subunit ribosomal RNA
Rfam family: Bacterial large subunit ribosomal RNA
Source: RNAcentral
UCUGACCGGUUGCAAAGGUAGCGUAAUCACUUGUUCCUUAAAUAGGGACCUGUAUCAACGGCACAACGAAGGUUAUACUGUCUCCUCUCUCCAAUCAGUGAAACUGAUCUCCCUGUGAAAAAGCAGGGAUAAUUCUAUAAGACGAGAAGACCCCAUGGAGCUUCAAACCCACCGCAACUCAAACACUAAAUCCCAUUUACCCCUUAGAGAUAUGCCCAUCGGUUUUAGGUUGGGGUGACCGAGGAGCAAAACAAAACCUCCUUAACGUAAAGACCUUAAUCUUCAUCCAAGAGCUACUGCUCUAAGAACUAGAACACUAACGCACACUGAUCCGAUAUUCGACCAAUGAACCAAGUUACCCUGGGGAUAACAGCGCAAUCUACUUAGAGAGUUCUUAUCGACAAGUGGGCUUAUGACCUCGAUGUUGGAUCAGGAUACCCCAGUGGUGCAGCCGCUACUAAUGGUUCGUUUGUUCAACGAUUAAAACCUUACGUGAUCUGAGUUAGAACCCGGAGAA